GAUGAACGCUGACAGAAUGCUUAACACAUGCAAGUCAACUUGAAUUUGGGUUUUUAACUUAGGUUUGGGUGGCGGACGGGUGAGUAACGCGUAAAGAACUUGCCUCACAGCUAGGGACAACAUUUGGAAACGAAUGCUAAUACCUAAUAUUAUGAUAAUAGGGCAUCCUAUAAUUAUGAAAGCUAUAAGCGCUGUGAGAGAGCUUUGCGUCCCAUUAGCUAGUUGGAGAGGUAACGGCUCACCAAGGCGAUGAUGGGUAGCCGGCCUGAGAGGGUGAUCGGCCACAAGGGGACUGAGACACGGCCCUUACUCCUACGGGAGGCAGCAGUGGGGAAUAUUGGACAAUGGACCAAGAGUCUGAUCCAGCAAUUCUGUGUGCACGAUGAAGUUUUUCGGAAUGUAAAGUGCUUUCAGUUGGGAAGAAAAAAAUGACGGUACCAACAGAAGAAGUGACGGCUAAAUACGUGCCAGCAGCCGCGGUAAUACGUAUGUCACGAGCGUUAUCCGGAUUUAUUGGGCGUAAAGCGCGUCUAGGUGGUUAUGUAAGUCUGAUGUGAAAAUGCAGGGCUCAACUCUGUAUUGCGUUGGAAACUGUAUAACUAGAGUACUGGAGAGGUAAGCGGAACUACAAGUGUAGAGGUGAAAUUCGUAGAUAUUUGUAGGAAUGCCGAUGGGGAAGCCAGCUUACUGGACAGAUACUGACGCUGAAGCGCGAAAGCGUGGGUAGCAAACAGG
RNAcentral lists this ribosomal RNA (735 nucleotides) under uncultured Fusobacterium sp. RNAcentral's name for it is "bacterial SSU rRNA". It matches the Rfam family "Bacterial small subunit ribosomal RNA", at positions 28 to 776 of the family's 1533-position model. Lineage: Bacteria; Fusobacteriati; Fusobacteriota; Fusobacteriia; Fusobacteriales; Fusobacteriaceae. The record is from RNAcentral.